CCUACGGGAGGCUGCAGUGGGGAAUAUUGGGCAAUGGACGCAAGUCUGACCCAGCAACGCCGCGUGAAGGAAGAAGGCUUUCGGGUUGUAAACUUCUUUUAAGGGGGAAGAGCAGAAGACGGUACCCCUUGAAUAAGCCACGGCUAACUACGUGCCAGCAGCCGCGGUAAUACGUAGGUGGCAAGCGUUGUCCGGAUUUACUGGGUGUAAAGGGCGUGCAGCCGGAGAGGCAAGUCAGAUGUGAAAUCCGCGGGCUCAACUCGCGAACUGCAGUUGAAACUGCUUCCCUUGAGUAUCGGAGAGGUAAUCGGAAUGCCUAGUGUAGCGGUGAAAUGCGUAGAUAUUAGGAAGAACACCAGUGGCGAAGGCGGAUUGCUGGACGACAACUGACGGUGAGGCGCGAAAGCGUGGGGAGCAAACAGGAUUAGAUACCCGUGUAGUC
This 442-nucleotide ribosomal RNA is filed under the name uncultured bacterium. RNAcentral's name for it is "partial 16S ribosomal RNA". It matches the Rfam family "Bacterial small subunit ribosomal RNA", at positions 338 to 795 of the family's 1533-position model. The record is from RNAcentral.